Molecule: ribosomal RNA, 397 nt
Filed under: uncultured bacterium
Lineage: Bacteria
Description: bacterial SSU rRNA
Rfam family: Bacterial small subunit ribosomal RNA
Source: RNAcentral
GACGAACGCUGGCGGCGUGCUUAACACAUGCAAGUCGAGCGGUAAGGCCCUUUCGGGGGUACGACGAGCGGCGAACGGGUGAGUAACACGUGGGUGACCUGCCCUCAGCUCUGGGAUAAGCCUGGGAAACCGGGUCUAAUACCGGAUAUGACUCCAUGACGCAUGUUGUGGGGUGGAAAGCCUUGUGCGGCUGAGGAUGGGCCCGCGGCCUAUCAGCUUGUCGGUGGGGUGAUGGCCUACCAAGGCGACGACGGGUAGCCGGCCUGAGAGGGCGACCGGCCACACUGGGACUGAGACACGGCCCAGACUCCUACGGGAGGCAGCAGUGGGGAAUCUUGCGCAAUGGGCGAAAGCCUGACGCAGCGACGCCGCGUGAGGGAUGACGGCCUGGUGUAAC